AAAACUUCAAAAUAUCUUAUAUAUUUUAUAUAUAUUUUGAAUAUUAAAUUUAAAAAUAACUAAUAUAUUGAAUUAUAAAUUUAAUGCGGAUAUAUUCAGAUACCAAAAUAUUUCGGUUCGGAUCAGAUUCGGUUCUAGUUCUUUAGUUAUCAAAAUUUUGAACCUUUUCGUAUAUUUAACCAAUUUUGGCGGUUCGAUACUACUUUCCGAAUCGGAUUCGGUUCUUCGAAUUCUGAUUUUUUUCACAACCCUAACUAAAGUAGUUUGAUAGCUAUUUAAAUGCGUGUGGAUGAGUAAUGCUAUUAAACGAGUAAGAAUGUCGAUAACAACAUAGACAUCAUUCUCUUUUUCUCAGGGGAGAUAUCUGUUAAUUCUCGCCGUUAAAUGACAAUUCACAAAUUACGAGUCCAUCCAUCUCUUACCUUCUUGAGAACAUGUGAGGCCUUACCCUUUUUUUUUCUUUUUUUUUUUUGUCACAAAGUGAGGCCUUACCCAUUUUCACGCUUUCAGGUAUUCAAAGCUGAGGUUAUGAGUGAUAGCCAUCUGAGUAAGUCUUAAGACAAUCUUCCAAAAACUUCUUACUACUCUUAAAACUCUUCUCUUUAUAAUCUUCCCUCCAAUUCUUUUCAUGUUCGUUAGGUUGCUAUAGCGUUUUACGUACCUACCAGGGUCAAUCAUUGAUAUUUUUCACUUUCUGGCUCUCGGGAUUCUCUUUGAAAUAUGCGAUGCAAAACUUAUAGAAUUCUUCGGUGUCUAACGGCAACGGGCUUCUAAUUAAAUUGGAAAUAUACUUGCAUUUUUUUUUUUGAAUAAUAGAAGCUGCCUCUUUGUUGGCUGUUAAACCACUGAAGAUAAGAACAGGGGCGGAUCUAGGAUCAAAUAUAAUUGGGGGUACAUACAAAAAUUUUCACUAUACAUAUUUUUUUUUAACUGGGGGCACUUGUUCCAAAAUAAAGCUAAUCGUUAAAGAAAUACAAAAGUAGAUGGGGGCAUCCUCUCUCCAGAACGAACACAACGAGGUAAAUCAACAACAUUGUGUAUUGUUUGAAGAGUUAUAUACGGUCACUAAUGAUCGAAUUUAUAAGCAAACAAAACCUAUUUGUCUGCAUUUUUUUUUUGAAACUUUUCAUGUUCUAUAUUUUUCUUCAAAUAUUUUCGAAUCAGAGAAUCUGACACUCUGUUGGCCAUGAAACGGUUAAAGAGGAGAAACAACACAACACAUGCCUUCUUUUAGAUGGCUCAUUCAUGUCAUGCGUUACCACUCC
RNAcentral lists this long non-coding RNA (1265 nucleotides) under Brassica rapa (field mustard). RNAcentral describes it as "long non-coding RNA (BRAP_LNC001397)". The record is from RNAcentral. Lineage: Eukaryota; Viridiplantae; Streptophyta; Magnoliopsida; Brassicales; Brassicaceae.